GUGUAGCUCAGUGGUAGAGUACGUGCCUGGCUUUCAUGAGACCCUGGGUUUGAUCCCCAGUAC
Molecule: transfer RNA, 63 nt
Filed under: Ictidomys tridecemlineatus (thirteen-lined ground squirrel)
Lineage: Eukaryota; Metazoa; Chordata; Mammalia; Rodentia; Sciuridae
Also listed under: 1 other name
Description: Spermophilus tridecemlineatus (thirteen-lined ground squirrel) tRNA
Rfam family: tRNA
About the family: Transfer RNA (tRNA) molecules are approximately 80 nucleotides in length.
Source: Rfam by way of RNAcentral